GCAUGGGUUUGGAUUUAUGGCAGGCCUCCCCCUGGGUCUCUCAGAGAGCCCUAUGCCAGAGUAAACUGCAGCCUUGAACCAUUGCCUGGCCUCUUCCCAUAGGCUACCAGCCAUGAAGUGGGUUGCACAAUG
Phyllostomus discolor (pale spear-nosed bat) is the source of this 132-nucleotide small nucleolar RNA. RefSeq annotates it as small nucleolar RNA SNORA42/SNORA80 family. Lineage: Eukaryota; Metazoa; Chordata; Mammalia; Chiroptera; Phyllostomidae. The transcript has a single exon. The record is from RefSeq and is a predicted model, not a curated record.